CUGGGACUGCUUUUUCCACCUUGUUAGUAUACUAAGCAGACGAAAAUGACAAAUACGGAUGCCUUAGACCAAGUUAUCGGCCAGACAUACUGCAGCUUCAACUGUGCAGUAUUGGAAUUCUGACUCCAAAUGUGAUAGGAAAGGUGAAGAGACAAUUCCUGGCCUGAAGCACUCACACCCAACAAUCUUUUAGAACGUCAAGGUGCUACCUCAUCAGCAUCACAAUGAGCCAGCUGCCAGCCUUGCUAUGACAAAAGCGGUAAUGGCAGCAGGCUGGGGGUGCAGCCUGCGGGGGGAGGGGGGGUGCUCCCGGCUCUGUGCACGGUUCACAGGAAACAGACGUCCGUACAGACGUGGAUCCACAGGUGAAAUGGGUAAAAACAGUGCUGGACUCCCAGUGCCACAACGCCACGCGCUGCUGUGGUCACGGAGGUGUGGACAACUGUGGGGGAGGACCGUUUAUCAACAUGUAUGAAGAAGGCAAAAAAAAAAAAAAAUAAGAACGAACGGCCUGAAGAAGAUAAGCCAGGCCUGGGGGCAUCCGGAUGCAGAUCCAGCACCCAGAGGCAGCGCCGGGAGAAGAGGCUUGAAAUAAUUUUGAAUCAAAAAGAAAAGAACAAAAAGUAAAAAGUAAGAAAGACUGAUUUAUUUCAAACAUCAGAUCCUGCCGUCUGGGAUUAGACAUCACAGAUUUAUAUUCAUCACAGUUCAGUUGAAGAGAACCAUCAGCAACCCACAAAAGCAGUUGAGUCUCUGCUAAAAGGCAUCGUUUUCCUCAAGCAGUCCAGACCCUUCCUUUGUUUCUCUAUUGUACAAGUGCUGCUGUCUGAGGGAUCCCAGGCAGAAGCAGCACAUUAAUGAAUCUAUGUUUGCUAUAUUUA
This is a long non-coding RNA of Peromyscus maniculatus bairdii (prairie deer mouse), 881 nucleotides long. RefSeq lists it as uncharacterized. NCBI's taxonomy places the organism in Eukaryota, Metazoa, Chordata, Mammalia, Rodentia, Cricetidae. The record is from RefSeq and is a predicted model, not a curated record.